UGGGGAAUCUUGCGCAAUGGUCGCAAGGCUGACGCAGCGACGCCGCGUGGAGGACGAAGGCCUUCGGGUUGUAAACUCCUUUUCUGGGGGACGAAUAAGGUCAGUAGGUAAUGGCUGACCGAUGACGGUACCCCAGGAACAAGCGCCGGCUAACUUCGUGCCAGCAGCCGCGGUAAUACGAAGGGCGCAAGCGUUAUCCGGAAUUACUGGGCGUAAAGGGCGUCUAGGCGGUCGGUCAAGUCAGUCGUGAAAGUCCUUGGCUAAACUGAGGAAAGUCGACCGAUACUGAUCGGCUAGAGGGACGUAGAGGUAAGCGGAACUCUCGGAGUAGCGGUGAAAUGCGUAGAGACCGAGAGGUACCCCGAUGGUGAAGACAGCUUACUGGGCGUCUCCUGACGCUGAAGCGCUAAGGCCAGGGGAGCGAAGG
RNAcentral lists this ribosomal RNA (427 nucleotides) under uncultured bacterium. RNAcentral describes it as "bacterial SSU rRNA". It matches the Rfam family "Bacterial small subunit ribosomal RNA", at positions 355 to 774 of the family's 1533-position model. The record is from RNAcentral.